ACUGGCCACUCUAACGGACGCUAGCUAGCUAGCAGGUAGCAUCCAUGUCUAUCAUCAUUUGAAAUAUAUCUUUUUCUCCAUAAUGGCAGUCGCUCAACUUCAAAGUUCCCGGUACUUUGUGAUUUUUUCUUGCUGCUUAUCUUCAAUCCGUGCAUCACCAGCGACACAGAGUUUUGCCACUGCAUGCGUGGAAGCCGGAUUAGAGUCUUGGAGGAGAAAACCUACAUAAAAGUCAUCUUCCUCCCUGGCAAUCUCUCUAGUAAGGGGAGAAUGUAUAUUGACCUACAUACUCUGUAUAACUCACAGUACAAUAACACAUGUGAGAUA
Molecule: non-coding RNA, 327 nt
Organism: Pantherophis guttatus
Lineage: Eukaryota; Metazoa; Chordata; Lepidosauria; Squamata; Colubridae
Source: RefSeq, a predicted model, not a curated record